Molecule: transfer RNA, 75 nt
Filed under: Pyrinomonadaceae bacterium
Lineage: Bacteria; Pseudomonadati; Acidobacteriota; Blastocatellia; Blastocatellales; Pyrinomonadaceae
Also listed under: 1 other name
Description: tRNA-Gly
Rfam family: tRNA
About the family: Transfer RNA (tRNA) molecules are approximately 80 nucleotides in length. Their secondary structure includes four short double-helical elements and three loops (D, anti-codon, and T loops).
Source: RNAcentral
GCGCGAGUAGCUCAGUGGUAGAGCAUCUGGUUCCCAACCAGAGGGUCGCGGGUUCAAGCCCCGUCUCGCGCUCCA